UCCUACGGGUGGCUGCAGUGGGGAAUAUUGCACAAUGGGCGCAAGCCUGAUGCAGCCAUGCCGCGUGUAUGAAGAAGGCCUUCGGGUUGUAAAGUACUUUCAGCGAGGAGGAAGGCAUUAAGGUUAAUAACCUUAGUGAUUGACGUUACUCGCAGAAGAAGCACCGGCUAACUCCGUGCCAGCAGCCGCGGUAAUACGGAGGGUGCAAGCGUUAAUCGGAAUUACUGGGCGUAAAGCGCACGCAGGCGGUCUGUUAAGUCAGAUGUGAAAUCCCCGGGCUCAACCUGGGAACUGCAUUUGAAACUGGCAGGCUUGAGUCUUGUAGAGGGGGGUAGAAUUCCAGGUGUAGCGGUGAAAUGCGUAGAGAUCUGGAGGAAUACCGGUGGCGAAGGCGGCCCCCUGGACAAAGACUGACGCUCAGGUGCGAAAGCGUGGGGAGCAAACAGGAUUAGAUACCCCGGUAGUC
RNAcentral lists this ribosomal RNA (466 nucleotides) under uncultured Enterobacteriaceae bacterium. Its description in RNAcentral is "bacterial SSU rRNA". It matches the Rfam family "Bacterial small subunit ribosomal RNA", at positions 337 to 795 of the family's 1533-position model. The record is from RNAcentral. Lineage: Bacteria; Pseudomonadati; Pseudomonadota; Gammaproteobacteria; Enterobacterales; Enterobacteriaceae.